GUGGGGAAUAUUGGACAAUGGGCGAAAGCCUGAUCCAGCCAUGCCGCGUGUGUGAAGAAGGUCUUCGGAUUGUAAAGCACUUUAAGUUGGGAGGAAGGGUAGUAACCUAAUACGUUGCUACUUUGACGUUACCGACAGAAUAAGCACCGGCUAACUUCGUGCCAGCAGCCGCGGUAAUACGAAGGGUGCAAGCGUUAAUCGGAAUUACUGGGCGUAAAGCGCGCGUAGGUGGUUCAGUAAGUUGGAAGUUACAUCACCGGGCUCAACCUGGGAACUGCUUUCAAAACUGCUGAGCUAGAGUACGGUAGAGGGUGGUAGAAUUUCCUGUGUAGCGGUGAAAUGCGUAGAUAUAGGAAGGAACACCAGUGGCGAAGGCGACCACCUGGACUGAUACUGACACUGAGGUGCGAAAGCGUGGGGAGCAAACAGGAUUAGAUACCCUAGUAGUCC
Molecule: ribosomal RNA, 450 nt
Filed under: uncultured bacterium
Lineage: Bacteria
Description: bacterial SSU rRNA
Rfam family: Bacterial small subunit ribosomal RNA
Source: RNAcentral